This 471-nucleotide ribosomal RNA is filed under the name Cryptosporidium meleagridis. RNAcentral's name for it is "SSU rRNA". It matches the Rfam family "Eukaryotic small subunit ribosomal RNA", at positions 392 to 893 of the family's 1831-position model. Lineage: Eukaryota; Apicomplexa; Conoidasida; Eucoccidiorida; Cryptosporidiidae. The record is from RNAcentral.
GAGCCUGAGAAACGGCUACCACAUCUAAGGAAGGCAGCAGGCGCGCAAAUUACCCAAUCCUAAUACAGGGAGGUAGUGACAAGAAAUAACAAUACAGGACUUUUUGGUUUUGUAAUUGGAAUGAGUUAAGUAUAAACCCCUUUACAAGUAUCAAUUGGAGGGCAAGUCUGGUGCCAGCAGCCGCGGUAAUUCCAGCUCCAAUAGCGUAUAUUAAAGUUGUUGCAGUUAAAAAGCUCGUAGUUGGAUUUCUGUUAAUAAUUUAUAUAUAAUAUUUGAUUAAUAUUUAUAUAAUAUUAACAUAAUUCAUAUUACUAAAUUUAUUAGUAUAUGAAAUUUUACUUUGAGAAAAUUAGAGUGCUUAAAGCAGGCAUAUGCCUUGAAUACUCCAGCAUGGAAUAAUAUUAAAGAUUUUUAUCUUUCUUAUUGGUUCUAAGAUAAAAUUGGGGGCAAUAGGGACAGUCCUGAGAGGUG